GAUGAACGCUGGCGGCGUGCCUAAUACAUGCAAGUCGAGCGAACAGACGAGGAGCUUGCUCCUCUGACGUUAGCGGCGGACGGGUGAGUAACACGUGGAUAACCUACCUAUAAGACUGGGAUAACUUCGGGAAACCGGAGCUAAUACCGGAUAAUAUAUUGAACCGCAUGGUUCAAUAGUGAAAGACGGUUUUGCUGUCACUUAUAGAUGGAUCCGCGCCGCAUUAGCUAGUUGGUAAGGUAACGGCUUACCAAGGCAACGAUGCGUAGCCGACCUGAGAGGGUGAUCGGCCACACUGGAACUGAGACACGGUCCAGACUCCUACGGGAGGCAGCAGUAGGGAAUCUUCCGCAAUGGGCGAAAGCCUGACGGAGCAACGCCGCGUGAGUGAUGAAGGUCUUCGGAUCGUAAAGCUCUGUUAUUAGGGAAGAACAAAUGUGUAAGUAACUAUGCACGUCUUGACGGUACCUAAUGAGAAAGCCACGGCUAACUACGUG
This 497-nucleotide ribosomal RNA is filed under the name uncultured bacterium. RNAcentral describes it as "partial 16S ribosomal RNA". It matches the Rfam family "Bacterial small subunit ribosomal RNA", at positions 28 to 507 of the family's 1533-position model. The record is from RNAcentral.